UGGCGGUACUUCUGACCGUGCAAAGGUAGCAUAAUCAUUUGCCUUAUAAUUGAAGGCUAGUAUGAAUGGUUUGACAAGAAUAUAGCUGUCUCUUUUUGAUUUUAUAGAAUUUUAUCUAAAGGUGAAGAAGCCUUUAUUUAAUUAAAAGACAAGAAGACCCUAUCGAGCUUUAAAACAAUAAGUAGGUUUGGUGUAUCUUAAUAGUUUUAUAAGGACAUCUGCUAAGAAUUUUAGUUGGGGCGACUAAGGAACACAAAAAGCUUCCUCUAACAAAUUUAAAUAAUUUACAGUUACUUGAUCCAAAAGUUUUUGACUAAAGGAAUUAGUUACCGUAGGGAUAACAGCAUUAUCUUCUUUAAGAGUUCUUAUCGAAAAGGAGGUUUGUGACCUCGAUGUUGGACCAGAAUAUCCUAAAGAUGCAGCAGUCUUUGAAGGUUGGUCUGUUCGACCAUUAAAAUUUCUACGUGAA
This 469-nucleotide ribosomal RNA is filed under the name Fusinus longicaudus. RNAcentral describes it as "partial 16S ribosomal RNA". It matches the Rfam family "Bacterial large subunit ribosomal RNA", at positions 1931 to 2604 of the family's 2925-position model. Lineage: Eukaryota; Metazoa; Mollusca; Gastropoda; Neogastropoda; Fasciolariidae. The record is from RNAcentral.